RNAcentral lists this ribosomal RNA (253 nucleotides) under uncultured bacterium. Its description in RNAcentral is "partial 16S ribosomal RNA". It matches the Rfam family "Bacterial small subunit ribosomal RNA", at positions 524 to 776 of the family's 1533-position model. The record is from RNAcentral.
UACGGAGGGAGCUUGCGUUGUUCGGAAUUACUGGGCGUAAAGCGCACGUAGGCGGCUAUUCAAGUCAGAGGUGAAAGCCCGGGGCUCAACCCCGGAACUGCCUUUGAAACUAGGUAGCUAGAAUCUUGGAGAGGUCAGUGGAAUUCCGAGUGUAGAGGUGAAAUUCGUAGAUAUUCGGAAGAACACCAGUGGCGAAGGCGACUGACUGGACAAGUAUUGACGCUGAGGUGCGAAAGCGUGGAGAGCAAACAGG